AAAAGAUUACUUCCUCGCCGUGUACACACUUUCAGUAUCAACUUUGUCGUUCGGGCACACCCACCGCGUCGGUAAUAUCAUCGUGGCUCGAAGAAACGCAUCGCCACCUGACCGUGGAACGGAUUCGAUAAGUGCAAACCGUCUUCACCACCAAACCAGGGAACGUCACCGGUCAGCAUCGUCAUCAGUUCCAUUAAAACCCCGUAAUGAGAUACUUCAGCGCUGGCAAAAAGUCAUCAUGCGGCGACUUCACUCCAAUACCGUCUACCCGGGGCCAACAGGAUACUGCUGCUGAUUUACCACACGCACUGGUUGAUUUUGGCACGCAAAGAAGGACAAAAAACAGGCACACGGACGCACCCGCUACCCGAUGGAUGUGACUAAUGAGCGA
Molecule: long non-coding RNA, 391 nt
Organism: Anopheles arabiensis
Lineage: Eukaryota; Metazoa; Arthropoda; Insecta; Diptera; Culicidae
Exons: 3
Source: RefSeq, a predicted model, not a curated record